CUUCUUUUCCCACCGGAGCUUGCUCCACCGGGAAAAGAGGAGUGGCGAACGGGUGAGUAACACGUGGGUAACCUGCCCAUCAGAAGGGGAUAACACUUGGAAACAGGUGCUAAUACCGUAUAACAAUCGAAACCGCAUGGUUUCGUUUUGAAAGGCGCUUUACGGUGCCGCUGAUGGAUGGACCCGCGGUGCAUUAGCUAGUUGGUGAGGUAACGGCUCACCAAGGCCACGAUGCAUAGCCGACCUGAGAGGGUGAUCGGCCACAUUGGGACUGAGACACGGCCCAAACUCCUACGGGAGGCAGCAGUAGGGAAUCUUCGGCAAUGGACGAAAGUCUGACCGAGCAACGCCGCGUGAGUGAAGAAGGUUUUCGGAUCGUAAAACUCUGUUGUUAGAGAAGAACAAGGGUGAGAGUAACUGUUCACCCCUUGACGGUAUCUAACCAGAAAGCCACGGCUAACUACGUGCCAGCAGCCGCGGUAAUACGUAGGUGGCAAGCGUUGUCCGGAUUUAUUGGGCGUAAAGCGAGCGCAGGCGGUUUCUUAAGUCUGAUGUGAAAGCCCCCGGCUCAACCGGGGAGGGUCAUUGGAAACUGGGAGACUUGAGUGCAGAAGAGGAGAGUGGAAUUCCAUGUGUAGCGGUGAAAUGCGUAGAUAUAUGGAGGAACACCAGUGGCGAA
This 679-nucleotide ribosomal RNA is filed under the name uncultured bacterium. RNAcentral's name for it is "bacterial SSU rRNA". It matches the Rfam family "Bacterial small subunit ribosomal RNA", at positions 69 to 719 of the family's 1533-position model. The record is from RNAcentral.